CCUACGGGUGGCUGCAGUGGGGAAUAUUGCACAAUGGGGGAAACCCUGAUGCAGCGACGCCGCGUGAGUGAAGAAGUAUUUCGGUACGUAAAGCUCUAUCAGCAGGGAAGAAGAAAGACGGUACCUGCCUAAGAAGCCCCGGCUACCUACGUGCCAGCAGCAGCGGUAAUCCGUAGGGGGCAAGCGUUAUCCGGUUUUACGGGGUGUAAAGGGUGCGUAGACGGCUGUGCAAGUCUGCAGUGAAAGCCCUGGGCUCAACCCUGGGACUGCUUUGGAAACUGUGGAGCUAGAGUGCUGGAGAGGUAAGUGGAAUUCCUAGUGUAGCGGUGAAAUGCGUAGAUAUUAGGAGGAACACCAGUGGCGAAGGCGGCUUACUGGACAGUAACUGACGUUGAGGCUCGAAAGCGUGGGGAGCAAACAGGAUUAGAUACCCGAGUAGUC
RNAcentral lists this ribosomal RNA (441 nucleotides) under uncultured bacterium. Its description in RNAcentral is "partial 16S ribosomal RNA". It matches the Rfam family "Bacterial small subunit ribosomal RNA", at positions 338 to 795 of the family's 1533-position model. The record is from RNAcentral.